AUUUCUUUAGUAUAAUAGUAUAAAUGCCUUCCAAGCAUUAGGCCCCACCUUAAGGGAAGAAAUA
RNAcentral lists this transfer RNA (64 nucleotides) under Hypsiglena chlorophaea chlorophaea (Sonoran nightsnake). RNAcentral describes it as "tRNA-Gly". Lineage: Eukaryota; Metazoa; Chordata; Lepidosauria; Squamata; Dipsadidae. The record is from RNAcentral.